This 465-nucleotide ribosomal RNA is filed under the name Vreelandella stevensii. Its description in RNAcentral is "partial 16S ribosomal RNA". It matches the Rfam family "Bacterial small subunit ribosomal RNA", at positions 338 to 795 of the family's 1533-position model. The record is from RNAcentral. Lineage: Bacteria; Pseudomonadati; Pseudomonadota; Gammaproteobacteria; Oceanospirillales; Halomonadaceae.
CCUACGGGCGGCAGCAGUGGGGAAUAUUGGACAAUGGGGGGAACCCUGAUCCAGCCAUGCCGCGUGUGUGAAGAAGGCCCUCGGGUUGUAAAGCACUUUCAGUGAGGAAGAACGCCUGGUGGUUAAUACCCAUCAGGAAAGACAUCACUCACAGAAGAAGCACCGGCUAACUCCGUGCCAGCAGCCGCGGUAAUACGGAGGGUGCGAGCGGUAAUCGGAAUUACUGGGCGUAAAGCGCGCGUAGGUGGCUUGAUAAGCCGGUUGUGAAAGCCCCGGGCUCAACCUGGGAACGGCAUCCGGAACUGUCAAGCUAGAGUGCAGGAGAGGAAGGUAGAAUUCCCGGUGUAGCGGUGAAAUGCGUAGAGAUCGGGAGGAAUACCAGUGGCGAAGGCGGCCUUCUGGACUGAAACUGACACUGAGGUGCGAAAGCGUGGGUAGCAAACAGGAUUAGAUACCCCUGUAGUC